Trachemys scripta elegans is the source of this 1531-nucleotide long non-coding RNA. RefSeq lists it as uncharacterized. The record is from RefSeq and is a predicted model, not a curated record. NCBI's taxonomy places the organism in Eukaryota, Metazoa, Chordata, Testudines, Emydidae. The transcript has 7 exons.
UCUCUUGAUCAAAUCCUGAAGGCCCUGCUUGGCUUACCCUCGGUCUUUCCCCAAACAGAAUGUUCAUUGACUUCAGAGAGAGUCUUGUGAGAGCAAGUGCUAUGUAAACACUGAGUAAGGACACCAGGAUGUGAUCCAUUGGUGAAACUAAGCUACAGAGAGGAUAUGUGACUUGCUAAAGGCCCCACAAUAUGUAAGUGGCAAAGCCUGGAACAGAAUCUAAAACAGUUGGCUGCCUUAUCUGCUGGACAACAUUAUCUCCCCAUCCAAAAAAGUGCCAACUCUCAGUCCAAAAGGAUGGAACUUUUGUCACUGAGGCAUUUCUAGCGUGCUCAUCACUGAAAUGUGCACUAGAAGCUAUGGAGAAGAGACCAGAGGGGCCAGGAUUUCACUCUUGAAGUCAAUGGAGGUUUUGCCAUCCACUUUAAUGGAGUCAUGAUUUCACCCCCAACGUGAAAGCAAUUGCUGCCGCUUGAUAUGAUGAGACGAUCUGUGGGAAUGGUGGACACAAAUGCAUGAAGAAGCAUAGAGCAGUAGAACUAUGGAGGGCACAGGACAGAGAACGGAAGAGGUGAGAGGACACAGAGGAAGGAGAAGAAACCAACCAUGCAUACGGUGUGCUGUUGCACUGUCUUCUGCACAGGGACCGGAAGGCCAAUCUUCUGCUCUCUGUUGUUGACUUCAAAAUGGUGUCUCAUGAUUCUGAGCUUUAAAACCGGUGCUCUGCAUUUCUAAUGCCAAGGAGUCUUGACCUGAACUGACAGAACUGGAAAAGCAGCUAAGAAUUUCGGGCUAUUAUAGAAAUGUUUAUGGAAUAACAGCACACUAUCAAUUAAGAAGUACAGAAGAGGUGUUUGAAUGCUCAGGACUAGAUAUAGCAUCAUGUCCUCUCUGACCUAAUUCUGAACUGAUGGGUACAUUCACUACUAAGGGAAAGAGUCAGAACAACUACUCCUGGUACCAGAAUUGGACCAAUUUGAGAGUGACCAGGAAGAAUUUUCACAGUGAAUCCAGAAAUUUCCAAGUGAAUCCAAAGGGGCAGUACAAGAAUUCCAUGGACUGAAGCAGCAAGGAUGAAUGGCCUGGAACCACCACCAGCAUUAAGGAUUGGGAGCAGCAUGAAGGAGUGGUGGAAACCUUUCACAAACCGGUUUUUGUUGUAUGUGACUGCAGUGGAUGCGGACACAAUAAGCAGUGCUAGGAAAAUGGCCUUAUUAACUGUAGCUGCUGCAGAGGCCCUAGAUAUUUGUAAUAGUCUCCAUCUGUGGCUAGCAAACAGAAUUGAUUUAGAUAAGGCCCUUCCACUGUUAAAGCUUAUUGUGCACCAAGAAAGAAUGAAACCUUUGAACUAUCCCUCUUCCACAUAAAGGUACAAAAGGCACAAGAAAGCACUGAGGAAUAUGGUACUAAUUGGAAGGUUCAUAGCCAGUCUUGCAACAGUGGUCUCUUAAGACAGUGGUCUCCAAAGUGGGGUGCACGCAAGAGGAUCCUUCGGGGUGCGCGACAGGAGGAGUGCCGCCGGAGCAGUGCC